UUACUUACCUGGCGUUGCGGUUACCGUGUCAUUAUGGCGGUUCCCCCAAGGCAAGGCUUUCCUAUUGCACUUCGGCUUGGCUGACCUCUGCGGAUAUCUCGGGCGCGUAAUUUUUGGUAGUCGGGGCUGCUUACGCGAUAUCCCGGU
Molecule: small nuclear RNA, 147 nt
Filed under: Cimex lectularius (bed bug)
Lineage: Eukaryota; Metazoa; Arthropoda; Insecta; Hemiptera; Cimicidae
Description: U1 spliceosomal RNA
Rfam family: U1 spliceosomal RNA
About the family: U1 is a small nuclear RNA (snRNA) component of the spliceosome (involved in pre-mRNA splicing). Its 5' end forms complementary base pairs with the 5' splice junction, thus defining the 5' donor site of an intron.
Source: Rfam by way of RNAcentral